Molecule: ribosomal RNA, 500 nt
Filed under: uncultured bacterium
Lineage: Bacteria
Description: partial 16S ribosomal RNA
Rfam family: Bacterial small subunit ribosomal RNA
Source: RNAcentral
ACUGAACGCUGGCGGCAUGCCUUACACAUGCAAGUCGAACGGCAGCACGGGAGCAAUCCUGGUGGCGAGUGGCGCACGGGUGAGUAAAGUAUCGGAACGUGCCCAGUCGUGGGGGAUAACGUAGCGCAAGUUACGCUAAUACCGCAUACGAUCUAUGGAUGAAAGCGGGGGAUCGCAAGACCUCGCGCGAUUGGACCGGCCGAUAUCAGAUUAGGUAGUUGGUGGGGUAAAGGCUCACCAAGCCGACGAUCUGUAGCGGGUCUGAGAGGACGACCAGCCACCCUGGGACUAAGACACGGCCCAGACUCAUACGGGAGGCAGCAGUGGGGAAUUUUGGACAAUGGGCGAAAGCCUGAUCCAGCCAUGCCGCGUGCAGGAUGAAGGCCUUCGGGUUGUAAACUGCUUUUGUACGGAACGAAAAGGUUUGGCCUAAUAAGCUGAGCUCAUGACGGUACCGUAAGAAUAAGCACCGGCUAACUACGUGCCAGCCGCCGCCGUAA